UUCCUACGGGGGGCAGCAGUGAGGAAUAUUGGUCAAUGGGCGCAAGCCUGAACCAGCCAAGUCGCGUGAGGGAUGACGGUCCUAUGGAUUGUAAACCUCUUUUGUCGGGGAGCAAGGCCCGCCACGUGUGGCGGGAAGGAGAGUACCCGAAGAAAAAGCAUCGGCUAACUCCGUGCCAGCAGCCGCGGUAAUACGGAGGAUGCGAGCGUUAUCCGGAUUUAUUGGGUUUAAAGGGUGCGUAGGCGGAAUGCCAAGUCAGCGGUAAAAUCGCGGGGCUCAACCUCGCUCCGCCGUUGAAACUGGCG
Molecule: ribosomal RNA, 305 nt
Filed under: uncultured bacterium
Lineage: Bacteria
Description: bacterial SSU rRNA
Rfam family: Bacterial small subunit ribosomal RNA
Source: RNAcentral